GUUUUAGAGCUAGAAAUAGCAAGUUAAAAUAAGGCUAGUCCGUUAUCAACUUGAAAAAGUGGCACCGAGUCGGUGCUUUUUUUGAGAUCUGUCCAUACCCAUGG
RNAcentral lists this guide RNA (104 nucleotides) under Cloning vector pABE. The stretch from base 2 to 83 matches the Rfam family "Trans-activating crRNA". Rfam says of the family: RNA-guided Streptococcus pyogenes Cas9 (SpCas9) is a sequence-specific DNA endonuclease, the Trans-activating CRISPR RNA form an hybrid with the crRNA (crRNA/tracrRNA). The RNA hybrid acts as a guide for the endonuclease Cas9. The record is from RNAcentral.